CAUUUCAGGUUGACCUCGGAUCAGGUAGGGAUACCCGCUGAACUUAAGCAUAUCAAUAAGCGGAGGAAAAGAAACCAACAGGGAUUGCCCUAGUAACGGCGAGUGAAGCGGCAACAGCUCAAAUUUGAAAUCUGGCGUCAGCCCGAGUUGUAAUUUGUAGAGGAUGCUUCUAGGCAGCGGCCGGUCUAAGUUCCUUGGAACAGGACGUCACAGAGGGUGAGAAUCCCGUACGCGACCGGCUCGCACCUAACACGUAGCUC
RNAcentral lists this ribosomal RNA (260 nucleotides) under uncultured Capnodiales. RNAcentral describes it as "partial 28S ribosomal RNA". It matches the Rfam family "Eukaryotic large subunit ribosomal RNA", at positions 1 to 254 of the family's 3401-position model. The record is from RNAcentral. Lineage: Eukaryota; Fungi; Ascomycota; Dothideomycetes; Capnodiales.